CGACAGCUGUUCCUCAUGCCACCCUGAGACUGGCUGGUGUGAUUUUAUGCUGUCGAAGAGAAAUGUCAAAUUGCCUUCACCCACUGUAGCGGCACUGCCGGUUGCAGGCAUCCUGCUGACAAUGGACUUGCGGAUUUGUACAUUA
This is a small nucleolar RNA of Branchiostoma floridae (Florida lancelet), 145 nucleotides long. RefSeq annotates it as small nucleolar RNA SNORA79. The record is from RefSeq and is a predicted model, not a curated record. Lineage: Eukaryota; Metazoa; Chordata; Leptocardii; Amphioxiformes; Branchiostomatidae. The transcript has a single exon.